GACGAACGCUGGCGGCGUGCUUAACACAUGCAAGUCGAACGGAAAGGCCCUGCUUUUGUGGGGUGCUCGAGUGGCGAACGGGUGAGUAACACGUGAGUAACCUGCCCUUGACUUUGGGAUAACUUCAGGAAACUGGGGCUAAUACCGGAUAGGAGCUCCUGCUGCAUGGUGGGGGUUGGAAAGUUCCGGCGGUUGGGGAUGGACUCGCGGCUUAUCAGCUUGUUGGUGGGGUAGUGGCUUACCAAGGCUUUGACGGGUAGCCGGCCUGAGAGGGUGACCGGCCACAUUGGGACUGAGAGACGGCGCAGACGCCUACGGGAGGCAGCAGUGGGGAAUAUGGCACAAUGGGCGGAAGCCUGAUGCAGAAACGCCGCGGGCGGGAUGACGGCCUGCGGGUUGUAAACCGCUUUCGCCUGUGACGAAGCGUGAGUGACGGUAAUGGGUAAAGAAGCACCGGCUAACUACGUG
RNAcentral lists this ribosomal RNA (468 nucleotides) under uncultured bacterium. Its description in RNAcentral is "partial 16S ribosomal RNA". It matches the Rfam family "Bacterial small subunit ribosomal RNA", at positions 28 to 507 of the family's 1533-position model. The record is from RNAcentral.